This is a long non-coding RNA of Nilaparvata lugens (brown planthopper), 392 nucleotides long. RefSeq lists it as uncharacterized. The transcript has 3 exons. Lineage: Eukaryota; Metazoa; Arthropoda; Insecta; Hemiptera; Delphacidae. The record is from RefSeq and is a predicted model, not a curated record.
UGAUUGAAGGUUUUAUAAUUUUUGUCGUUAUUGCACCAGAAUAUUGAAUUAGGGUUAUAUUUUCAGGUGGCUGAUAAAGGAAUUCCGUUGAUUUAAGCAGCUAAUGGAGGCUGAAAGGCAGCGGAGCCAAUAGAAGUAAAGCUGGUAGCUGACUUGUAUUCAAAUCUUGGAAGAUGGAUGCCCGCGCGCUGUGCGAUCUACUACAUUGAUAAGACCUCAUCGCCAAUCUAUAGCUGUGGAUUACCUCAUCACAUCCUCAUAAUAUUAUUAAUCGCAAAUGGAGUUUUCUUCAGGAAAGGCAAUCAAUCGGCAGUCGACAUUGAUGAAUUACGACCGAGACUAUAAACUGACUGAGACAAUAAAUGUAGACAUUUAUCAUUUUAUGUUUUUUC